This 479-nucleotide ribosomal RNA is filed under the name uncultured bacterium. RNAcentral's name for it is "partial 16S ribosomal RNA". It matches the Rfam family "Bacterial small subunit ribosomal RNA", at positions 28 to 523 of the family's 1533-position model. The record is from RNAcentral.
GACGAACGCUGGCGGCGUGCUUAACACAUGCAAGUCGAGCGAUGAAGCACCUUCGGGUGUGAAUUAGCGGCGAACAGGUGAGGAACACGUGAGAAAUCUGCCUUCAACACUGGGAUAACUCCGGGAAACCGGGGCUAAUACCGGAUAUGAAACCUGCGGGCAUCCGCGGGUUUGGAAAGUUUUUCGGUUGAAGAUGAUCUCGCGGCCUAUCAGCUUGUUGGUGAGGUAAUGGCUCACCAAGGCGACGACGGGUAGCCGGCCUGAGAGGGCGACCGGCCACACUGGGACUGAGACACGGCCCAGACUCCUACGGGAGGCAGCAGUGGGGAAUAUUGGGCAAUGGAGGAAACUCUGACCCAGCGACGCCGCGUGCGGGAUGAAGGCCUUCGGGUUGUAAACCGGUUUCAGCAGGGAAGAAGCGAAAGUGACGGUACCUGCAGAAGAAGCACCGGCUAACUAUGUGCCAGCAGCCGCAGUAA